UAAUCAACUAGUAAUCGCUCCAAUUAAGUAACACAUGAUCUAAUAAGAAAUGUUUGAUCAAACAACGUAACGUUAUUAGUCUAAUAAUCUUUGAUCAAAAAGCACUAAGAAAAGUUCCUAUAUCAAGUGGGAUUUUAGCUAAGCAAGUUAAGAUUGAUACUUAAUUCCGUACCGGCAAGGUUUUAUCGAGUAUGUAGUAAAUGCAUCAUAUCAUCAUACAUACGUAUUCAUUUUGCUAUUUUAACGAAUAUUGUACCUUCUUCUAUAAAAAUAUAUGAUUUGUUUUGAAAGUUAGUCUACUUGCAUGUUAUACGUUUGUGAAAUCUUUUGUUAAAAGAUUCUUACUUUGUUUCUUGACUUGAUUGUUAAGUUUACUUGAGAAUCUUUCAUUUAUAAAUGAGGAUUGUUAUUGGCACUCCAAAUUCCUCAUUCUACACUCCAAACUUUCUAUAUUUAGAAACAAAAAUACACUUGUGAAGGGUGUAGAAUGAUAUUUUUAAAAUGUCAAUAACAUUUCCCUUAUAAAUUUAGGUCUUUUAAUGUUGCAACUUGCGAUGUUUUCCUAAUAUAGUUUGUUUGAAGCCCUAACUCAUUUCAUGCCGAAACAAGCAUAGAUUUAUGGGAACUUUAACGAAAAGCUCCCGGUACUGUUCACUUUAACGAAAAACCACAUUUUUACACUAAAAAGUCAAUCCUAGUACUAUUCACUU
RNAcentral lists this long non-coding RNA (710 nucleotides) under Malus domestica (apple). Its description in RNAcentral is "long non-coding RNA (MDOM_LNC002338)". The record is from RNAcentral. Lineage: Eukaryota; Viridiplantae; Streptophyta; Magnoliopsida; Rosales; Rosaceae.